Poecilia latipinna (sailfin molly) is the source of this 1811-nucleotide long non-coding RNA. RefSeq lists it as uncharacterized. Lineage: Eukaryota; Metazoa; Chordata; Actinopteri; Cyprinodontiformes; Poeciliidae. The transcript has 2 exons. The record is from RefSeq and is a predicted model, not a curated record.
UUAACGUGACUUAAUAUGGGGUCACAGUUAGGUUGCCAAACAUGUUCAGCUAUCCUUCAUAAGGUUUAGGAAACUCCGAGUCAUUCCCAAAGGGAUUUUCCUUGUUUCUUUACCUGCUCAGGUGCAAAUGAAGGCAAAUGGUCCAAAUGUGAGCCCUGCAGCUCCAUGAAACCAGAAGCAGCAGCCCUGAAUGUGCUGACGAAGCAUAAAGCCUGCAGGCUGCAGAGAUGCAGGGGGAAGACUCCUACAGGUGAUGCAGGUGAAGCAGCCAGAAGCCCCGCCCCUCUGCAGCAGCUUUGGGUCCUCUCUGCGAUCCGUGAACCGGUGAUGUGGCGUCCAGGUCGGGUCUGCUCUCCGUACCGACACGGAGGCUCACAGGUAGAGGCGGCGUGGUGCUCAGCUGAAGGAGGGAGCGCGCACGGUGGUGACAGGAGCAUCAGUUUCACAAACGGUCUCCUCCUUCGCCCCUGAAAGUGUGGCGUAAUCACGUGCGGGGGUGAUGCACCAUGAAAUGGAAUGGGCGCCCAAUCCGGGGGAGCGGGCUCAGCGGCGUGUCUACGGAAAUGAAGGUCAUUCUUUACCCAGAGAGGCUGGUGUCAGAGGAAAAGGCCUCACAGGUCAAACAUGGCCACAGGCAGACAGGAGGCAGCGCUCAGGCAGACUUCAGGUUUGGAUCUGAAAGAGACCAGAAAUGAGUCCAUUUAAAACGCCAAAUAUCCUAAAAGUAUAUGAAGCUUAGCCGCUUAAAAUAAACAUAUGUUGCCAAAUAUGGGUAAUGACAGCUGUAAGCAGAAAGCGGCUUGUUUUCUUGACCGAAAAUAAAUUUCUACCAAUAAAACGUUGACUGGAUCUGCUGCUUGUCGGCCAAACAGAAACAUUUAAGCUCAACAGAAAACCACGUUUUCCCCGAGCUGCUAUAAAAGAGAUGAACAUUUAAACUACAACGCAUUUCUAUGUUUAGAUGUUAAAACUAAAUUAAUCAUCUCACUUUUAAAAGGAAAAAAAAGCUAUUUUAUAUCAUAAAGCUAGCUAAGUGAGCACUUUUAAUAAAUUUGGAAAGUUACAAAAAGUAAGAGUCCAUCUAAAAGUUAAAACUCAGCCAAGAAACUUUAAAUCACUUCUAAAAGCCUUGUACUAUCGAUAGUCUUCUGUUGUAAAUAACAUAACGGCACAAACAGCCUAUUCUUGUUUCCUUCAUGAUUAAAAACAUCGUUUUUGGUUUCAUAAACGUUUGGUGUUUAGUCUCAGCUGCAGCACCUCCUGUAUUCAGGUGUGUCUGUCCUGAUCAGGGCCAGUCGACUCAAUUCAUCCCAGCUGGUCUCCAUCUGAGAUGCAACGAAACAGAAACAAAAUAACACAGAACCGACUUACAGGUAACUUUAAAGAGACAAAGGAGCCUCUUAAAGUAAACUAUUCCUUUUUAUUGAUAAAAAGUACGAGUUCCCCUGGAAGAUUAUUUCAUUUCUAGGUCAUAAGUGAACUGAUACUUUUCCAUUAGUAAGAAAUUAUUGACUUAACAGAAGCUUCUUGUGCUAAAACCCAGAGAAAAAUACUUGGUGUUUUUUCUGUGUUCUAGUUUUGAUAAUUUUGUGUUAAAAGGUUUUUUCCACGUUGCCAUAAUGGGGUAUUUGUGUGUAUAUUUCUGAGGUGGAAGAUUAAUUUGUUACAGUGUGGAAUAAGGCUGGAACAUAAAGCAUGGAAACAGUGAAGAGCUGUGAAUACUUUCUGGAUGCGUUCUAUAACAAUUAUGUUGAAUUGAUUUGUCCAAUCUUACUAAAUUACUCCGUCUCAAUAAACAUGAGCAUGUUUUU